UACGAAGGGGGCUAGCGUUGCUCGGAAUCACUGGGCGUAAAGCGCACGUAGGCGGCUUUCUAAGUCAGGGGUGAAAUCCUGGAGCUCAACUCCAGAACUGCCUUUGAUACUGGAAAGCUUGAGUUCGGGAGAGGUGAGUGGAACUGCGAGUGUAGAGGUGAAAUUCGUAGAUAUUCGCAAGAACACCAGUGGCGAAGGCGGCUCACUGGCCCGAUACUGACGCCGAGGUGCGAAAGCGUGGGGAGCAAACAGG
This 253-nucleotide ribosomal RNA is filed under the name uncultured bacterium. RNAcentral describes it as "partial 16S ribosomal RNA". It matches the Rfam family "Bacterial small subunit ribosomal RNA", at positions 524 to 776 of the family's 1533-position model. The record is from RNAcentral.